This 497-nucleotide ribosomal RNA is filed under the name uncultured bacterium. RNAcentral's name for it is "partial 16S ribosomal RNA". It matches the Rfam family "Bacterial small subunit ribosomal RNA", at positions 28 to 507 of the family's 1533-position model. The record is from RNAcentral.
GAUGAACGCUGGCGGCGUGCCUAAUACAUGCGAGUUGAGCGAACGGACGAGAAGCUUGCUUCUCUGAUGUUAGCGGCGGACGGGUGAGUAACACGUGGAUAACCUACCUAUAAGACUGGGAUAACUUCGGGAAACCGGAGCUAAUACCGGAUAAUAUUUUGAACCGCAUGGUUCAAAAGUGAAAGACGGUCUUGCUGUCACUUAUAGAUGGAUCCGCGCUGCAUUAGCUAGUUGGUAAGGUAACGGCUUACCAAGGCAACGAUGCAUAGCCGACCUGAGAGGGUGAUCGGCCACACUGGAACUGAGACACGGUCCAGACUCCUACGGGAGGCAGCAGUAGGGAAUCUUCCGCAAUGGGCGAAAGCCUGACGGAGCAACGCCGCGUGAGUGAUGAAGGUCUUCGGAUCGUAAAACUCUGUUAUUAGGGAAGAACAUAUGUGUAAGUAACUGUGCACAUCUUGACGGUACCUAAUCAGAAAGCCACGGCUAACUACGUG